This 323-nucleotide ribosomal RNA is filed under the name uncultured Bacillus sp. RNAcentral describes it as "bacterial SSU rRNA". It matches the Rfam family "Bacterial small subunit ribosomal RNA", at positions 309 to 616 of the family's 1533-position model. Lineage: Bacteria; Bacillati; Bacillota; Bacilli; Caryophanales; Bacillaceae. The record is from RNAcentral.
CAAACUGGGACUGAGACACGGCCCAGACUCCUACGGGAGGCAGCAGUAGGGAAUCUUUUUCCCCAAUGGACGAAAGUCUGACGGAGCAACGUUUCCGCGUGAGUGAUGAAGGUUUUCGGAUCGUAAAGCUCUGUUGUUAGGGAAGAACAAGUACCGUUCGAAUAGGGCGGUACCUUGACGGUACCUAACCAGAAAGCCACGGCUAACUACGUGCCAGCAGCCGCGGUAAUACGUAGGUGGCAAGCGUUGUCCGGGAAUUAUUGGGCGUAAAGGGCUCGCAGGCGGUUUCUUAAGUCUGAUGUGAAAGCCCCCGGCUCAAAAAA